This 72-nucleotide transfer RNA is filed under the name Camelus bactrianus (Bactrian camel). It matches the Rfam family "tRNA". Rfam says of the family: Transfer RNA (tRNA) molecules are approximately 80 nucleotides in length. RNAcentral also lists the same sequence under 1 other name. The record is from Rfam by way of RNAcentral. Lineage: Eukaryota; Metazoa; Chordata; Mammalia; Artiodactyla; Camelidae.
GGGGGUAUAGCCCUGUGGUAGAGCACGUGCUUAGCAUGCAUGAGGUCCUAGGUUCAAUCCCCAGUACCUCCA